Arvicola amphibius (Eurasian water vole) is the source of this 494-nucleotide non-coding RNA. The record is from the annotation of a RefSeq genome assembly. NCBI's taxonomy places the organism in Eukaryota, Metazoa, Chordata, Mammalia, Rodentia, Cricetidae.
ACAAGUCCUGGAAUCCCAAGUCCUUCCAGUCAGAGCUCAACACUGAACAUAGACCACUCACCAUGGACUUAGGGCUCAUAUUGGUUUUCUCUGUCCUGAUUUUAAAAGGUGUUCAUUGUGAGGUGCAGUUGCUGGAGUCUGGGGGAGGCUUAGUGCAGACUGGAAAGUCCCUGAAACUCUCUUGUGCAGCCUCUGGAUUCACCUUCAGUGAUUAUUACUUGCACUGGGUCCGCCAGGCUCCCGGAAAGGGGCUGGAGUGGGUUGCAUGCAUUAGUAGUGGUGGUGGUGGCUAUACCAAAUAUGCUGACGCUGUGAAGGGCCGGUUCACAAUCUCCAGAGACAAUGCCAAGAACACUCUGUACCUGGAAAUGAACAGUCUGAGGUCUGAGGACACAGCCAUGUAUUACUGUGCAAGAGACACAGUGAGUGUAUGCUACUGGGAGCUCAGACAUAAACAUCCCUGUGGGGAACAUAGGACCAGGAGGGGUCGCUGA